This 576-nucleotide ribosomal RNA is filed under the name Aspergillus striatus. RNAcentral describes it as "eukaryotic LSU rRNA". It matches the Rfam family "Eukaryotic large subunit ribosomal RNA", at positions 58 to 648 of the family's 3401-position model. Lineage: Eukaryota; Fungi; Ascomycota; Eurotiomycetes; Eurotiales; Aspergillaceae. The record is from RNAcentral.
AAAGAAACCAACCGGGAUUGCCUCAGUAACGGCGAGUGAAGCGGCAAGAGCUCAAAUUUGAAAGCUGGCCCCCUCGGGGUCCGCGUUGUAAUUUGCAGAGGAUGCUUCGGGUGCGGCCCCUGUCUAAGUGCCCUGGAACGGGCCGUCAGAGAGGGUGAGAAUCCCGUCUUGGGCAGGGUGCCCGUGCCCGUGUGAAGCUCCUUCGACGAGUCGAGUUGUUUGGGAAUGCAGCUCUAAAUGGGUGGUAAAUUUCAUCUAAAGCUAAAUACCGGCCGGAGACCGAUAGCGCACAAGUAGAGUGAUCGAAAGAUGAAAAGCACUUUGAAAAGAGAGUUAAACAGCACGUGAAAUUGUUGAAAGGGAAGCGCUUGCGACCAGACUCGGCCCCGGGGUUCAGCCAGCACUCGUGCUGGUGUACUUCCCCGGGGGCGGGCCAGCGUCGGUUUGGGCGGCCGGUCAAAGGCCCCAGGAAUGUAUCGCCCUCCGGGGUUGUCUUAUAGCCUGGGGUGCAAUGCGGCCAGCCCGGACCGAGGAACGCGCUUCGGCACGGACGCUGGCGUAAUGGUCGCAAACGAC